AGGCUUGACUUCCAUUACUCCUUAAUUAUAAUUAUUUUGCUUUUAUUCUUAGGUUUCGGACUGUUAGAUAUACAGUGCAUGCAGACAGUAUCGUAUACCUUAUAGUUCAUCUAUCCAUCUACUACUUCUACGUGUACACACAUAGUUUAUCCAUUUGCUGCUUCUAUGUGUACACAUGUAGCCUACCUAUUUGCUGCUUUUACGUGUACGCAUGUAGCUUUUACUGCUGUGCCACACUGCUAUGACAAUAUACUACUGGGCACUGUGAUACUUCCGCCUUGUAAUUA
This 287-nucleotide long non-coding RNA is filed under the name Elaeis guineensis (African oil palm). RNAcentral describes it as "long non-coding RNA (EGUI_LNC045738)". Lineage: Eukaryota; Viridiplantae; Streptophyta; Magnoliopsida; Arecales; Arecaceae. The record is from RNAcentral.